This 470-nucleotide ribosomal RNA is filed under the name uncultured Sphingobacteriales bacterium. RNAcentral's name for it is "bacterial SSU rRNA". It matches the Rfam family "Bacterial small subunit ribosomal RNA", at positions 916 to 1381 of the family's 1533-position model. Lineage: Bacteria; Pseudomonadati; Bacteroidota; Sphingobacteriia; Sphingobacteriales. The record is from RNAcentral.
GACGGGGCCCGCACAAGCGGAGGAGCAUGUGGUUUAAUUCGAUGAUACGCGAGGAACCUUACCUGGGCUCGAACGUAAGAUGACUGUAGGUGAAAGCUUACAUCUCUUCGGAGCAUUUUACGAGGUGCUGCAUGGUUGUCGUCAGCUCGUGCCGUGAGGUGUCGGGUUAAGUCCCAUAACGAGCGCAACCCCUGCAUUCAGUUGCCAUCGGGUAAUGCCGGGCACUCUGGAAGGACUGCCAUCGACAAGAUGGAGGAAGGUGGGGAUGACGUCAAGUCAUCAUGGCCCUUAUGUCCAGGGCGACACACGUGCUACAAUGGCCGGCACAACGGGAAGCGAGUUCGCGAGGACGAGCGGAUCCCUUAAAGCCGGUCGCAGUUCGGAUUGAAGUCUGCAACUCGACUUCAUGAAGCUGGAAUCGCUAGUAAUCGUGGAUCAGCCAAGCCGCGGUGAAUACGUUCCCGGGCCUU